CCUACGGGUGGCAGCAGUGGGGAAUAUUGGGCAAUGGAGGCAACUCUGACCCAGCAACGCCGCGUGAAUGAUGAAGGUCUUCGGAUUGUAAAGUUCUGUGAUGGGGGAUGAACACAAUGACGGUACCCCAAUAGCAAGCCACGGCUAACUACGUGCCAGCAGCCGCGGUAAUACGUAGGUGGCAAGCGUUAUCCGGAAUGACUGGGCGUAAAGGGUGCGUAGGUCGGCUUUUAAGUCAGCUGUGAAAGUCCGCGGCUCAACCGUGGAAUUGCAGUUGAAACUGGAGGCCUUGAGUGCACACAGGGAUGCCGGAAUUCAUGGUGUAGCGGUGAAAUGCUUAGAUAUCAUGAAGAACUCCGAUCGCGAAGGCAAGUGGCCGGGGUGCAACUGACGCUGAGGCUCGAAAGUGCGGGUAUCAAACAGGAUUAGAUACCCCGGUAGUC
RNAcentral lists this ribosomal RNA (443 nucleotides) under uncultured bacterium. Its description in RNAcentral is "partial 16S ribosomal RNA". It matches the Rfam family "Bacterial small subunit ribosomal RNA", at positions 338 to 795 of the family's 1533-position model. The record is from RNAcentral.